CUUGUACACACCGCCCGUCACACCACGAGAGUUUGUAACACCCGAAGUCGGUGGGGUAACCGCAAGGAGCCAGCCGCCUAAGGUGGGACAGAUGAUUGGGGUG
Molecule: ribosomal RNA, 103 nt
Filed under: uncultured bacterium
Lineage: Bacteria
Description: partial 16S ribosomal RNA
Rfam family: Bacterial small subunit ribosomal RNA
Source: RNAcentral